Long non-coding RNA from Zingiber officinale, 836 nucleotides. RefSeq lists it as uncharacterized. Lineage: Eukaryota; Viridiplantae; Streptophyta; Magnoliopsida; Zingiberales; Zingiberaceae. The transcript has 4 exons. The record is from RefSeq and is a predicted model, not a curated record.
AGUUAACGGGGAUAAAAAUGGGGUCCGGAAAAGCCUGUUUAGGCUACCUCGUUUUAAAGAGGAAAUGUUUGAUUUUUCUCCCUUUUUCUUUAUUCUUUUUCUUAUUUUCCUCCGCCGUUUUCUUUCAUUGCCGCGCGCCCGAAGUCCUCACCCCCUUGCCCUAACCGGCGCCGAGCUAACCGCUCGCGAUUUAAGCCCCGAUCAAGGUUUGUUCCUUUUUCUUCUUCUCCGCUCUGCCGUCCCCAAAUCGCCGGUGCCUUUCCUCUAUGCCCUAGCAUCUCUGCCGAUGCCACUGUCUCUCUUUCUCUCGACGCCGAGCAGCACCGAGCCCUAGGUGCCAACGCCGUCGACGCCUUUUUCCGACCUCUUCUGUGCCACUCCGAGACUCCUUGUCCGAGUUCUCACCGUGCCCUAGCCCCCGCUCAGCAGAUAGCCGGCUGCCAACACUCAAAGCAAUUGUCGAUUUGUAGCCUCUGCCCUAGCCUCUGUUUCCGACGCUGGUAAGGGUUCUGCCGUGGCCACCACUUGGGAUCUGUAUGUCGUCGUCGCCCCUUUGCUCUGGUUUACUGCCUCAGUAGCCCUUGCUGGAAACAACACCGGUGACCUAACUCCUCCGUCCUCUAAUCCAGUGAGCUACUGGAUGAAGCAUCAAGAGUUUGUUGCUGUCUCUGUUUGAUUCCGGCCACCACCCCCUGUCAACAGCUUGACACACCUGAGUAGGAAGGAUUCCAGCAGCAAACGAUCCUACUUCCAACAGUGAUAAAACGGCUGUGAGUUUCAGGAUCUUGACGCGAGACGAGUAUCUUGGAGUCAGAUUUGGAUCACUUUAUUGGAGG